This 481-nucleotide ribosomal RNA is filed under the name uncultured bacterium. RNAcentral's name for it is "partial 16S ribosomal RNA". It matches the Rfam family "Bacterial small subunit ribosomal RNA", at positions 28 to 507 of the family's 1533-position model. The record is from RNAcentral.
GAUGAACGCUGGCGGCGUGCUUAACACAUGCAAGUCGAACGAAGCACUUUAUUUGAUUUCCUUCGGGACUGAUUAUUUUGUGACUGAGUGGCGGACGGGUGAGUAACGCGUGGGUAACCUGCCUUGUACAGGGGGAUAACAGUUGGAAACGGCUGCUAAUACCGCAUAAGCGCACGGCAUCGCAUGAUGCAGUGUGAAAAACUCCGGUGGUAUAAGAUGGACCCGCGUUGGAUUAGCUAGUUGGUGAGGUAACGGCCCACCAAGGCGACGAUCCAUAGCCGACCUGAGAGGGUGACCGGCCACAUUGGGACUGAGACACGGCCCAAACUCCUACGGGAGGCAGCAGUGGGGAAUAUUGCACAAUGGGCGAAAGCCUGAUGCAGCGACGCCGCGUGAGCGAAGAAGUAUUUCGGUAUGUAAAGCUCUAUCAGCAGGGAAGAUAAUGACGGUACCUGAAGAAGAAGCACCGGCUAAAUACGUG